AAAUUGAUUCGAAAAACAAACCUGGGAAAAACAAGAGAUUGAAUGAAGACUCAUACGGUGAAAUCGAAAACACAAAGCCGACAAUCUCCCACGGCGAAAAUGGGAUGCAACGGCGACAAACUAAACUAUUUCCGACGGAAGAAGAACAAGAGAGAGAGAAAAUGAAUUAGGUCGAUGAAGUGUACGUAGUUCAGUAAGGGUAUUUUGGGAAUAAACCUAUUAGAUGGGGUAGAAAUAAAAAUGGGAAAAAGGGUAGAGUUGAAAAGGGGCAAUAAAAAAAGGGCAUUAGAGUGAAUUAUUCAAAAACAAAUUCCCGCCUAAAUUUUUUCCGUAACAAUUUUUUCCCCAGCCAAAAAAAUGUAUUUAAAAAUCCUUGUAAAUUUUUAACGAAAGAGGAUGUCGGUACACUUCUGAUGACUCAUCAACACGUGUUACGGUUGUAAUCUCAAGAUGACACGUAAAUUUGUUAGAACCCAAAUGAUAAAACUCU
RNAcentral lists this small RNA (490 nucleotides) under Arabidopsis thaliana (thale cress). Its description in RNAcentral is "ATSL208150". Lineage: Eukaryota; Viridiplantae; Streptophyta; Magnoliopsida; Brassicales; Brassicaceae. The record is from RNAcentral.